AAUAAUGAACAACCAGUUUACUACCGUUUAUAUUGUCUUUAGGUUACUGGUAUAUAAUAAUGAUCAACCAGUUUACUACCGGUUAUAUUGUCUGUAGGUUACUGGUAUAUAAUAAUGAGUUUACUGUAGAGAAUACAACGUUAGUUCAUGUUUUACUUCUUUACUGACCCGUUCGUUUGUCUUGAUGCUACUCCAAUUAAAAGAAGGACUGUCAGAAGUCCUUUGAAUGUGCUGAUAUGUAAGUUAAAUAUGUGUGCGUAGUGACUGGGGAUUUACAGUUUAAUAGAGCUCGUAAGUACGCCACUUCCGGUAGACCCUGUCGCGGGGUUCAUAUUUAUGAUCCAUGACGUGACGUCCAUAAUGCUUUAGUGUGACGCAGUCACAAUGAUCUUCUCAGUUCAGAAGGAGUUGUGUUUGUGUCCAGGUCUCCAGUCUACUAUGGAUGAGGAGAGAGAGGAUGGGGAUGGGGGUCCUACCUCUAAGACCACUCUGUCUGGGGAAAAUGGCCGCCGGAGCAAAGCUAAGAGCCCAGAGCAGCAGCAGAGAGCAGACUCCCCUGGACCCAGCUGUGUCUCCAUGAAAAGUGACUGGUCCAUGGAUAACCCUCCUAACCUUAAAGAUGGACGCCUCUCCAGAGAGGAGAGAGGGAGGCAGGAGAGAGCAGACUCCCCUGGACCCAGCUGUGUCUCCAUGAAGAGUGACUGGUCUAUGGAUAUACCUCCUACCCUUAAAGAUGAAAGCCCCUCCAGAGAGGAGAGGGACUGGUGGAUAGUGGUGCCUAAGAAGCGGAAGGAGGAGACCCACUCCACAACUUGGCCAUUAAUGGAGAUGGGAAGGUGCUGGCCUGCCUUUUCCUAUAGUCAAUGAUGAGUUCUUUGGUUUUGGUUGUAUUAAGUAUAAGGUUAUUGUCUUCACACCACUGCACCAGCUGUUCAACCUCACUCCGGUAGGUAGAUUCCUCCCCAUCAGAUAUGAGGCCUAUGACAGUGGUGUCAUCUGCAAACUUUAACAUUUUAACAGAUGCAGAGUUUGAUGUACAAUUAUUAGUGUACAGUGAAAAUAAUAGAGGUGACAAGACACACCCUUGUGGGGCGCCGGUGUUCACAAUCCUUGGUGAUGACACAUUAUUCUGGAUUUUAACACACUGUUUCCUACUGGACAGGAAGUUUAAGAUCCACUGACAAAGUACAGCAUCAACUCCUGCAGCCAGGAGAAAAUUGUACAGUCUGACAGGAAUGAUGGUAUUGAAAGCCCAGCUAAAAUCAAUGAACAGUACACGGGCAUUGGUGGACUUAGUGUUCAGAUGUUGCAGAAUGAAAUGUGGGCAAAGUGAAACUGCAUCGUCCACUCCCCUAUUAGCCCUGUAGGCAAAUUGGUGAGGGUCUAGCGUGAAGUACCUACAGACUAGGCGCUCAAGUACCUUCAUAACAACAGAAGUAAGUGCCACAGGCCUAUAGUCAUUAAGACAGGUUAUGUUUCUUUUCUUGGGCACUGGAAUGAUCAUAGCGGAUUUAAAACAUGCAGGUACCGUUGCUGUGUUAAGAGACCAGUUGAAAAUGUAAGUGAGUAUGGAGGCAAGCUGGUCUGCACAGCUCUUUAGAGUAGCUGGUGUCACACCAUCAGGCCCUGCUGCUUUGUUGAUUUUCUGAUGCCGUAGCAGUCUACGGACAUCAUGCUCUGGGAUGGAAAAGGUAGAGUGCCCAUCCAACAGAGAAAGUGGGAGAGAACUAGUCUGGGCACCAUUGUUCUCAAAACGGCAGAAAAAGUCAUUAAGUUGCUCUGGCAGGGAGGAGUCACAGUCAAGACAACUUGUAGCAGACUUUACAGGUUUAAUGUUUAAAGAUCCCAUGCCAUUCUAUUUUAUGAUGCUUUAAUAUAGGUAUUAGUGGGCCACAAACACAGUAUUCAAAGACGUCCCAGAAAUUCAGCCGUG
Gadus morhua (Atlantic cod) is the source of this 1933-nucleotide long non-coding RNA. RefSeq lists it as uncharacterized. The record is from RefSeq and is a predicted model, not a curated record. The transcript is spliced from 4 exons. Lineage: Eukaryota; Metazoa; Chordata; Actinopteri; Gadiformes; Gadidae.